Molecule: RNA transcript, 1640 nt
Organism: Betta splendens (Siamese fighting fish)
Lineage: Eukaryota; Metazoa; Chordata; Actinopteri; Anabantiformes; Osphronemidae
Exons: 7
Source: RefSeq, a predicted model, not a curated record
UGCUGUGAGAGAACGCGAGACUCUGCGAGAACAGCACGAGAAAUUCAACAAGGCGGCGCGACACCGGUAGUAAACAACAGCGCGACAAACUAUCCGCCAAUUUAAAUAAAUAACUACCUUAUUUUACGGAAAAUAAUCAACCACCCUACCAUUCUGGAUAACACCGAAGAAAGUUUCGAGUAUAUCGACGAGUGCUUCGAGCGUCUGGUAAUGGGGAAAAAGGAGACGGCUCCCAACAAGCGUUCCCGUCCGUCUGACUCACCUGAGUCACCUGGAGCUAGCUCGGCGGACAAAAACAUCACGGACAUCCUGGAGUCAAUCGAGAAAAAAAUAUCAAGCUUCGACGCACGUCUGGCGCUAGUGGAACUCCUCCACAAAGAGUUUAUGGCCCUCCGCGACUCCCUGGAAUUUAGCCAGCAGCAGGUGAUUUCUCUCGCCACCGAGAACGAGGCCCUGAAAGGAACGGUGCAGUCCAUGACGGAGGAUGUGGCUCAGCUAGCGGCCGAAAAUAAAAAAAUAAAAGAAGGCAUUAUCGAUCUGCAGGCCCGCAGCAUGAGGGACAACCUGGUGUUCUCGGGGAUUCCAGAACAGGCAGAGGAAAACACUGAAACCACAAUUAAAAACUUCAUUAAACAACAGAUGAAGAUUCCAGCGGAAGUUGUCGACAAGAUGGCGUUCCACCGUUCGCAUAGACUUGGAGGAAGACGACCGGAUGGCCAGCGCCCCCGACCCAUCGUUGCCAAGUUUCAUGACUUUAAGCAGAAGGAACUGGUUAAGAGCCGGGGCAGACAGCUGAAGGGAACCGACUACAGCGUUAACGACCAGUUCCCCAAGGAGAUCCUCGACCGCCGCCGCCGACUGUUCCCCAUCCGUAAGAGGUUCAUGGCAGAAGGCUGCAGGGCUGUCAUCAGCGUCGACAAACUGUACGUCAACGGAGAGCUCUACCGGGACCGGGAAGCAACUCCGUGGCUGUACUAGCAGGUGAGACAACCGGCCAAGGUGAUGGAAGCAGAGUUAUGACUGCAAACCACUGAAUUGCCUGAAAACCAAGAGAAGAGGAAGCAUCACUUGACUCAGAGACACGCUGGAGUUUGUGCACAAACCAGACAGACGAGUUCCAGCAGGUACUGCAUGGGUUCAGGAUAGAGUUUAGCCGUCAAAGAAAACAGAAGCGGUGUAGCUGGCAAAUGUCAGCUUGGCUGUGACCCCAGUUUGGUCUUUGGAGAGCUCCACACCGUCGACUAUCUCAGCUAAGCCGUUCAGGGUCAAGGGUGUGUCAUUAACCUGCAUCACAAUGUGAGAGACAAAGUGGAUGUGAAUAUCCGACCCAUUCAGUACCAGUGUCACACUGUCCAAAAAGCUCACAUCUUUACGACGGCGCUCCUGGAAGUUGGCCAGCACUUGCAAACUUGGAACCGAGAAAUGGGACAGCAGAGAGGGUUACAAGUAACUCUACGAAGGACCAGAGCUUCAUCACAGAUUACAGAAGAGCAGUUUUCAGGGUCCUGCAGAGGCCACAGUACAGUGUACGCCAGCUGGCCCUCUAUGUAGAACAUUGGAGCCAUGCGACAGCUGGGCUCAUCGGAGUGCUGCACCUGGGAGCCAAACUCAUCCAUAAUGUACCACACAGGGACCUUGUC